GGCGUAAUGAUGGCCAGGCUGUCUCCACCCGAGACUCAGUGAAAUUGAACUCGCUGUGAAGAUGCAGUGUACCCGCGGCAAGACGGAAAGACCCCGUGAACCUUUACUAUAGCUUGACACUGAACAUUGAGCCUUGAUGUGUAGGAUAGGUGGGAGGCUUUGAAGUGUGGACGCCAGUCUGCAUGGAGCCGACCUUGAAAUACCACCCUUUAAUGUUUGAUGUUCUAACGUGGGCCCCUUACCGGGGUUGCGGACAGUGUCUGGUGGGUAGUUUGACUGGGGCGGUCUCCUCCUAAAGAGUAACGGAGGAGCACGAAGGUUGGCUAAUCCUGGUCGGACAUCAGGAGGUUAGUGCAAUGGCAUAAGCCAGCUUGACUGCGAGCGUGACGGCGCGAGCAGGUGCGAAAGCAGGUCAUAGUGAUCCGGUGGUUCUGAAUGGAAGGGCCAUCGCUCAACGGAUAAAAGGUACUCCGGGGAUAACAGGCUGAUACCGCCCAAGAGUUCAUAUCGACGGCGGUGUUUGGCACCUCGAUGUCGGCUCAUCACAUCCUGGGGCUGAAGUAGGUCCCAAGGGUAUGGCUGUUCGCCAUUUAAAGUGGUACGCGAGCUGGGUUUAGAACGUCGUGAGACAGUUCGGUCCCUAUCUGCCGUGGGCGCUGGAGAACUGAGGGGGGCUGCUCCUAGUACGAGAGGACCGGAGUGGACGCAUCACUGGUGUUCGGGUUGUCAUGCCAAUGGCACUGCCCGGUAGCUAAAUGCGGAAGAGAUAAGUGCUGAAAGCAUCUAAGCACGAAACUUGCCCCGAGAUGAGUUCUCCCUGACUCCUUGAGAGUCCUGAAGGAACGUUGAAGACGACGACGUUGAUAGGCCGGGUGUGUAAGCGCAGCGAUGCGUUGAGCUAACCGGUACUAAUGAACCGUGAGGCUUAACCUU
RNAcentral lists this ribosomal RNA (933 nucleotides) under Escherichia coli. Its description in RNAcentral is "partial 23S ribosomal RNA". It matches the Rfam family "Bacterial large subunit ribosomal RNA", at positions 1998 to 2925 of the family's 2925-position model. The record is from RNAcentral. Lineage: Bacteria; Pseudomonadati; Pseudomonadota; Gammaproteobacteria; Enterobacterales; Enterobacteriaceae.